This 4324-nucleotide long non-coding RNA is filed under the name Pelobates cultripes (western spadefoot toad). Lineage: Eukaryota; Metazoa; Chordata; Amphibia; Anura; Pelobatidae. The record is from RNAcentral.
CGGCAAUUAAGUGCCAGUCGAUGCACUCUCCUGAGGCUCUUUUUCCGAAUCAUCCAGCGGUGGCAGUAUGGGCAAUGGCUGGUCACAUGGCGACCGGAUCCUGGAGGCUCUACCUUGGCCGAUAGGAGUAGAGGUGGGUACCUGUGCAUUCAGCUUCACCCACAAGCCCGCAUUUUUAAUCUCCCUUUAUUGGGUCUAUUCCCCUCUUCUAUUUGCCAAUAUCUUCCUAUUCUGUACAGUUGCCAAAGAACAUCUAAAUAUCCCCACAAUACGGUAAAUUUUAUUUUCUAUUGUGUGAUAUUCACAAUAUCAAGUGUCACAUGACUCUCUCUACAAAGCCAUUUUGUAGUGGCCUCACUUGUAAAAUCACGACAUGACUAUUUUUAUAUUUUGUGUGCAUAAUUUGUUUUCUAUUAAUAUAUAUUUACGGUCUAUCCUGUAAACUACAAUUUGAAAUGCAAAUAUGCUAAUUAGCAGUCACUCGACAAUGACAUCAUUUGACAACAAAUUUUGCAUUUCUGUGACUGUUGUAUAAAGAGAAGAUUUCCAGGCUUAUGCAACACUUUGGUAAAACCAUUUCUAUCGACAAAACAAGUUAGUGGUUACUGUUUUUUUUUAUUAUUUCUUACAACUAAUAAAACAAUUAAUUUUUUAGGUUAAUAUUUUCGGAUUCUGUUUCCUUGGUGGGGUAUGCACCACCUAGGCCCUAAGGAUUGAGCAGACCAUCAAAUGGUGUGCAAUAUAUAGUUAUGUUUUCUAUUCCAUAUCCACACAGGAGAGAACCUGAACCACCCACAUACCCCAGAGUUAGGAUCAUAAUGCUCUAUCCUGUAUUACAGGGCUCCAAUAAAUGUAAGUGCAAAUGCAUUCAUCUACCCAUCCAGUGCUCUAUUGCCAAAUAUAGUACACUAGAUAGUUUUGUUUUUGGAUUCCCUUUUCUUGUUCCCCUCUGCUGCAUAUUGGAUGUAAUAUGUUUUUGAGCAAGAGGUACAAUCAGAUCCACAUCUCGUGCACAUAAAAGGAGCUACCUUAUAGCUCAACAUAGUGUAAGUGCACCCUUUUCUCCUUGUUUUCUCAGUGAUUAUAACAUACUACACUAACAGAUUUCUACCUUAUAUCAUACUUAUUUCAUUACACUACAACUAAGGACAUUUAAGGUGCUGCACCCUCCUCCCCCUCCACAAUAAGACUUACUCGAUGAGUGUUACAAGUGUGUAAAAAAUUUAGAAAUAUGUAACACAGGCAUACGGCAACUUCUACAGUAUAUUGUAGACUUGAGCAAAAAUUUUAUUUGGAUGGUUUGUCCGAAUCAAAUUCCUUUGAAUCCACACCCCAACAGAGAGAUUCUAGCAUUCUGUAUCCUGCUAAACCACAAUGCAGCAAAGGGAAGGAUUGACGCUUUUAUUUAUAUUAAGUAGGUUUAUGUGCAUGAAAUGUCUCGUUUAACCCCUUAAGGACACAGCUUCAGAAGCAUGUCUUACCUUUAAGGACACAAGCCUUUUUUGCUGUUUGUACUCAAACGCAAUUUGCAUCUCUGUCAUUUAUUGCACCAACACAUAUUAUAUAUCCAUUUUUUAGAGGGCAAACAGGGCUUUAAUUUGAUGUCACAUAUACAUAGAUACAUAAAUUAUUUUAAAAAAACAAAAAAUUGAAAAGAAAACAAAAACAUAUUUUUUUUUUCCUCACAGUUUUGGCUAUAAUAGCGUGUGCAUAAUACGUCCAGCUUAGAAAAAGUAAUUCAAAAUAAAUUAAUUUAUGUGUCUUGAUUUAUAGAUUGCAUCAUAUGUAUAGGAUUUCAGCUUAUUUUGACCGCUACAGGUCACAAAAUACAAGAACUAAAAUAAAAUUUCAAUUUGCAACAAUUUUAGAAUUUGGUAUGUUUGUCUUGUAGGUUUAGUAGCCAUCACAGAAAACAAAAUUGCUGCACAAAAGUAUAUAUUUAUAUAAAGUAGACAUCACAGGCUAUUUACCUAAGGUUAUGUUGAAACUUUUUACGUAGCCAUUUCAGCGUCAAUCUCUUCUAAAUAUUGGAGUAAAAUUGUGUUUUUUCUUUAUUUUGGCAAAUACACAUAUAGCAAGGUUUUUGUAAUGUGUAUUUCAUAGAGCUGGUGUGUGCUAUUCCUGCACAGAACCCCAUAUUGUGUUCAGCUACAUCUGCUGAGUAUAACAAUACCCCCAUUGUAUGCGUUUGGCACUAUUCUGUGAAGCUACAGUGCCAUAUAAGAGACAAGGAUAAUUCAGUUUCAGGCCUAUAUCUCAUUUUAGGGUAUUAUAGCAAUGCGACUGUUCAAAUAACCCCACAAAGGGCUUUCAUUUGAUAAAGCAGACACCCCAGGGUAUCUUAUAUGGUGUAUAUUGUGCCUUAACUUGUCACCAUUUUUUCACCAAUAUAUGUCAAUGUUUGUGGUGAGGGGGGGAAAUUGCAUUUUUACAUAUAGGUUGCAUUUUUGCUGAGUAUUUCUUACACUUAAUAUGUAUCACUGUCAUAAAAAUCCCCAAAUUAUACUCAGUUACAUCUUCUGAGUAAAACAAUAUGCCCAAUGUAUGACCUAGACACUAUUUUGUGAGGCUACAGUGCUGUAAAAGAGACGUGACAAGUUCAGGAGUUUAAGUGCAAAUUUUCAUGGAGGGUUUUGAUGCGUUCGUGUCCCACUUUGGAGCACUCUACAUAUUACAACUACACCAUAAAGGCAUACCAUUUCUUAAAGAAGACAUCCCAGGGCAUUUCAAAAGACGUAUUUUGAACCUUAGCGUGGGAUCAUUUUUCCGCUAGCAUGUACCAAGUGUAGUUGUAAUAAGCAUUUUUUCUGCCUUUUUGACACACAAAGUGAGUUUGCACAGUAUAUUUUUCAAAUCUUAUGUGUACUACAACAGUGUAAUACUUCAUAUGUUGCUCAGCUAUGUCGGCUUAGUACAGCAAUACCCUCAUAUGUACCUUUGCCAGAUAUAUGUGGACAUCGGAGGGGCACAUUUGAAACGCAGCCAUUCAGUUUUUUUCUAACUUUGAAGUUUUACGCUGUGUCCAUGUUCCAUCUUGGAGUAGUUUAGAUGGUUGGUUAUUGAAACUUCCCCACAAACACAUACUAUUUAUUAAAGAAUACACCCUGGGGUAAUUCAAAAGGCAAAUUUUGAACCUUAGUGUGGGAUCAUGUUUUUCUCUAGUUUGGUCCAGGUGUAGUGGUAAUAAGCAUUUAUAAAUUUAUUUUUGUACUUUUUAAAACUAGUUUUUAAACUUUUUUUGCAUAUUAAUUUUUCUAAACUUUCUUCCAACUUUUUUUUUUUUUUUACAGAUUUAACAAGUUAUAAGCUUUUUUUUACCGUUAACCCCUAACUAGCAGUAAGCAGCACUAACCGUAAACGUGCCAUAACUCCCACCCACCACAGCUAGCAAACUAUAUCAUUUUAAAAUAUUUAAAUUAAUUAAAUAAAUUGAAUCCCUGAGGGUUAAAAAAAAGUUAACCCUAAGGGGUUAAAAAAAUAAAUAAAUCGGAUCACAGUAUAAUACUGUGAUCUGUAUUUUGAUCAGUGUAGGUAGUGAUCAACUGGCAGGGAAGGGGUUAAUUUUUAUUAGAACUGGGUAAAGGAGGGUGGGAUUAUUCCUUUUUAUUUUUUUAAUUAUUAAAACAUUUUUUACUUUUUAAAUCUUUUUUUUAACGUUAACCCCUAGCUAGUCGAACACCAAAUUCCCCCAUUCCCCAACUAACUUCCUCCCUGUUUCUAAAUAUAUCAUUUUAAUAUAUUUAAAUGAAUUAAUAAAAUAAAAUUAACCCCUGAGGGUUACAAAAAAUAAAAGUUGACCCUCAACGGUUAAAAAAAAAAAAAAAAUCAGAUCACAGUAAAAUCUAGUCUCUGCCAAUUGAUCACUGUAGUCAGUGAUCAAUUGGCAGGGAAGAGGUUAAUUUUUAUUUAAAAUGGGUAAAGCGGGGUGGGAUUUUAAACUAACUUUAUUUUUUUUUACAGGGGAAGCACAUCAUCACUGAUCCGUCUCCCUACACGUCACACAGAUCAGGGAAGAGCAGGGAGGCGGAUGGUGAGUCCCUGCAGCACAUGUGCUCGCUCUGACGGGUGCUCCCGUUCAACCUCUAAUACAGAAACAGACCGGAGGAGUGUUAACCCCGCGAUCGCGGCAAUCUGGGGUUAACUUUAAAGCAUGAUGGACCAUGUCAUUCGGCGUUAAAUGUUUCCCCGUCAUGACGGGACCGGGUCCGUCAUCCGACGGGAAGGUGUUAAGACAAUAAAAAAAACAAAAAAAACAUUUUACACCAAGAUGCUUUCACUGCUAUUCUAGAUCAUAUAAUAUUGAUUCAUGACAGUUUUCAAAGAG